UACGUAGGUGGCAAGCGUUGUCCGGAAUUAUUGGGCGUAAAGCGCGCGCAGGCGGUCCUUUAAGUCUGAUGUGAAAGCCCACGGCUCAACCGUGGAGGGUCAUUGGAAACUGGAGGACUUGAGUGCAGAAGAGGAAAGCGGAAUUCCACGUGUAGCGGUGAAAUGCGUAGAGAUGUGGAGGAACACCAGUGGCGAAGGCGGCUUUCUGGUCUGUAACUGACGCUGAGGCGCGAAAGCGUGGGGAGCGAACAGG
This 253-nucleotide ribosomal RNA is filed under the name uncultured bacterium. Its description in RNAcentral is "partial 16S ribosomal RNA". It matches the Rfam family "Bacterial small subunit ribosomal RNA", at positions 524 to 776 of the family's 1533-position model. The record is from RNAcentral.